This 484-nucleotide ribosomal RNA is filed under the name uncultured bacterium. RNAcentral's name for it is "partial 16S ribosomal RNA". It matches the Rfam family "Bacterial small subunit ribosomal RNA", at positions 29 to 507 of the family's 1533-position model. The record is from RNAcentral.
AUUGAACGCUGGCGGCAUGCUUUACACAUGCAAGUCGAACGGCAGCGCGGGCUUCGGCCUGGCGGCGAGUGGCGAACGGGUGAGUAAUACAUCGGAACGUGCCCAGUAGUGGGGGAUAGCUCGGCGAAAGCCGGAUUAAUACCGCAUACGACCUGAGGGUGAAAGCGGGGGAUCUUCGGACCUCGCGCUAUUGGAGCGGCCGAUGGCAGAUUAGCUAGUUGGUGGGGUAAAGGCCUACCAAGGCGACGAUCUGUAGCUGGUCUGAGAGGACGACCAGCCACACUGGGACUGAGACACGGCCCAGACUCCUACGGGAGGCAGCAGUGGGGAAUUUUGGACAAUGGGCGAAAGCCUGAUCCAGCAAUGCCGCGUGUGUGAUGAAGGCCUUCGGGUUGUAAAGUACUUUUGGCGGGAACGAAAAGGACUGUGCCAAUACCACGGUUCGAUGACGGUACCCGCAGAAUAAGCACCGGCUAACUACGUG